GACGAACGCUGGCGGCGUGCUUAACACAUGCAAGUCGAACGGAAAGGCCCUGCUUUUGUGGGGUGCUCGAGUGGCGAACGGGUGAGUAACACGUGCGUAACCUGCCCUUGACUUUGGGAUAACUUCAGGAAACUGGGGCUAAUACCGGAUAGGAGCUCCUGCUGCAUGGUGGGGGUUGGAAAGUUUCGGCGGUUGGGGAUGGACUCGCGGCUUAUCAGCUUGUUGGUGGGGUAGUGGCUUACCAAGGCUUUGACGGGUAGCCGGCCUGAGAGGGUGACCGGCCACAUUGGGACUGAGAUACGGCCCAGACUCCUACGGGAGGCAGCAGUGGGGAAUAUUGCACAAUGGGCGGAAGCCUGAUGCAGCAACGCCGCGUGCGGGAUGACGGCCUUCGGGUUGUAAACCGCUUUCGCCUGUGACGAAGCGUGAGUGACGGUAAUGGGUAAAGAAGCACCGGCUAACUACGUG
This 468-nucleotide ribosomal RNA is filed under the name uncultured bacterium. RNAcentral's name for it is "partial 16S ribosomal RNA". It matches the Rfam family "Bacterial small subunit ribosomal RNA", at positions 28 to 507 of the family's 1533-position model. The record is from RNAcentral.